CCUACGGGCGGCUGCAGUGAGGAAUAUUGGUCAAUGGGCGAGAGCCUGAACCAGCCAAGUCGCGUGAAGGAUGAAGGUUCUAUGGAUUGUAAACUUCUUUUGUAAGGGAAUAAAAAGAGCUACGUGUAGUUUAUUGUAUGUACUUUACGAAUAAGGAUCGGCUAACUCCGUGCCAGCAGCCGCGGUAAUACGGAGGAUCCAAGCGUUAUCCGGAUUUAUUGGGUUUAAAGGGUGCGUAGGCGGAUCUUUAAGUCAGUGGUGAAAGUUUGCGGCUC
This 275-nucleotide ribosomal RNA is filed under the name uncultured Paludibacter sp. RNAcentral's name for it is "partial 16S ribosomal RNA". It matches the Rfam family "Bacterial small subunit ribosomal RNA", at positions 338 to 610 of the family's 1533-position model. Lineage: Bacteria; Pseudomonadati; Bacteroidota; Bacteroidia; Bacteroidales; Paludibacteraceae. The record is from RNAcentral.